This is a small nuclear RNA of Rattus norvegicus (Norway rat), 62 nucleotides long. Ensembl annotates it as U7 small nuclear RNA. NCBI's taxonomy places the organism in Eukaryota, Metazoa, Chordata, Mammalia, Rodentia, Muridae. The record is from Ensembl.
AGCUAACACAGCUCUUUUAGAAUUUUUCUAGCAAGUUUUCUGUCUUUGGUCAGAAAACCAAA